Gadus macrocephalus (Pacific cod) is the source of this 605-nucleotide long non-coding RNA. RefSeq lists it as uncharacterized. The transcript is spliced from 3 exons. NCBI's taxonomy places the organism in Eukaryota, Metazoa, Chordata, Actinopteri, Gadiformes, Gadidae. The record is from RefSeq and is a predicted model, not a curated record.
AAUGUAGGCUAUCAGUAAAAUGUUCCUUUCUAAUAUGUGUGGCCUCUGGUGCGCUGGGCACGGUUUCCCGCCUGUGUGCGUCCAAACCGCGGCUAGAUUCUCCCGCCUCCUGCCUCUCCCACCGCUGCCUCUCGUCUCCUCAGCUUUCAGCAGCAAUUGCCUCACACUUUUCUGAAUAGCAAUCAAACCAAAUGUUUUUCUUUUUAGAUUUCUUAGAAGAGUCAAUACUUUUCCUGCGUUCUUAUCAACGUCGGAAGUCGGUCGAUUUAUUUUAUGGAGGGUCAUUCCCAUGGCAUGAUAGAUUAUAAAAACGGCAGAUCUGCGCAAAAUUAGGUCAUUUGACAUUUGUGAUCUCAAAAACGUGAGUCAUAUACCCUUCCCUGGACAUCCCAUCAUUAAAGAUGUCCCAGGUCACGGCUGCGGAGGAGGGAGGCACCUUUGAGCACCUGUGGAGUUCCUUGGAGCCUGACACCACCUACUAUGAGAUGCCCCCGGGGGGCCAGUCGGGGGAGCGGCCGGUGCCCUCCACCAGCACCCCGGGGGGGCACCGGGGGGCCACCGAGGUCUGCAUGGACGUCUACCACAUGAGGGACCUGGAGGACGGC